UACGAAGGGGGCUAGCGUUGCUCGGAUUUACUGGGCGUAAAGGGCGCGUAGGCGGACAGUUUAGUCAGAGGUGAAAGCCCAGGGCUCAACCUUGGAAUUGCCUUUGAUACUGGCUGUCUUGAGUACGGGAGAGGUGAGUGGAACUCCGAGUGUAGAGGUGAAAUUCGUAGAUAUUCGGAAGAACACCAGUGGCGAAGGCGACUCACUGGCCCGUUACUGACGCUGAGGAGCGAAAGCGUGGGGAGCGAACAGG
This 253-nucleotide ribosomal RNA is filed under the name uncultured bacterium. Its description in RNAcentral is "partial 16S ribosomal RNA". It matches the Rfam family "Bacterial small subunit ribosomal RNA", at positions 524 to 776 of the family's 1533-position model. The record is from RNAcentral.